RNAcentral lists this ribosomal RNA (497 nucleotides) under uncultured bacterium. Its description in RNAcentral is "partial 16S ribosomal RNA". It matches the Rfam family "Bacterial small subunit ribosomal RNA", at positions 28 to 507 of the family's 1533-position model. The record is from RNAcentral.
GAUGAACGCUGGCGGCGUGCCUAAUACAUGCAAGUCGAGCGAACAGAUAAGGAGCUUGCUCCUUUGACGUUAGCGGCGGACGGGUGAGUAACACGUGGAUAACCUACCUAUAAGACUGGGAUAACUUCGGGAAACCGGAGCUAAUACCGGAUAACAUAUUGAACCGCAUGGUUCAAUAGUGAAAGGCGGCUUUGCUGUCACUGAUAGAUGGAUCCGCGCCGUAUUAGCUAGUUGGUAAGGUAACGGCUUACCAAGGCAACGAUACGUAGCCGACCUGAGAGGGUGAUCGGCCACACUGGAACUGAGACACGGUCCAGACUCCUACGGGAGGCAGCAGUAGGGAAUCUUCCGCAAUGGGCGAAAGCCUGACGGAGCAACGCCGCGUGAGUGAUGAAGGUCUUCGGAUCGUAAAACUCUGUUAUCAGGGAAGAACAAAUGUGUAAGUAACUGUGCACAUCUUGACGGUACCUGAUCAGAAAGCCACGGCUAACUACGUG